AUUGAACGCUGGCGGCAUGCCUUACACAUGCAAGUCGAACGGCAGCACGGGAGCAAUCCUGGUGGCGAGUGGCGAACGGGUGAGUAAUAUAUCGGAACGUGCCCAGUGAUGGGGGAUAGCCCGGCGAAAGCCGGAUUAAUACCGCAUACGACCUACGGGUGAAAGCAGGGGAUCGCAAGACCUUGCGUCAUUGGAGCGGCCGAUAUCAGAUUAGCUUGNGGUGGGGUAAAAGCCUACCAAGGCGACGAUCUGUAGCUGGUCUGAGAGGACGACCAGCCACACUGAGACUGAGACACGGCCCAGACCUCCUACGGGAGGCAGCAGUGGGGAAUUUUGGACAAUGGGCGCAAGCCUGAUCCAGCCAUGCCGCGUGCGGGAAGAAGGCC
RNAcentral lists this ribosomal RNA (386 nucleotides) under uncultured bacterium. Its description in RNAcentral is "bacterial SSU rRNA". It matches the Rfam family "Bacterial small subunit ribosomal RNA", at positions 29 to 416 of the family's 1533-position model. The record is from RNAcentral.